RNAcentral lists this microRNA precursor (57 nucleotides) under Limulus polyphemus (Atlantic horseshoe crab). Its description in RNAcentral is "Lpo-Mir-153-P10_pre stem-loop". The record is from RNAcentral. Lineage: Eukaryota; Metazoa; Arthropoda; Merostomata; Xiphosura; Limulidae.
UCAUUUUUGUGAUUGGUGCAAUUUAGUUAACCAAAUUGCAUAGUCACAAAAGUGAUG